UACGUAGGUGACCAGCGUUGUCCGGAUUUACUGGGCGUAAAGAGCGCGCAGGCGGUCGUUCAAGUCGAGUGUGAAAGCCCCCGGCUCAACUGGGGAGGGUCAUUCGAUACUGAUCGACUCGAAGGCAGGAGAGGGAAGCGGAAUUCCUGGUGUAGCGGUGAAAUGCGCAGAUAUCAGGAGGAACACCGGUGGCGAAGGCGGUUCUCUGGGCAUGUCCUGACGCUGAGGAGCGAAAGUGUGGGGAGCGAACAGG
Molecule: ribosomal RNA, 253 nt
Filed under: uncultured bacterium
Lineage: Bacteria
Description: partial 16S ribosomal RNA
Rfam family: Bacterial small subunit ribosomal RNA
Source: RNAcentral